This is a small nucleolar RNA of Engraulis encrasicolus (European anchovy), 80 nucleotides long. Lineage: Eukaryota; Metazoa; Chordata; Actinopteri; Clupeiformes; Engraulidae. The record is from RefSeq and is a predicted model, not a curated record.
GUCCAUUGAUGAGUUUGCCAUGCUAAUACUGAUGCAGGAGUGCAAAUGAGUUAGACAUUUCUCAGCAAAUCCUGAGGACA